RNAcentral lists this small RNA (27 nucleotides) under Bombyx mori (domestic silkworm). RNAcentral's name for it is "ovarian small RNA-12305". The record is from RNAcentral. Lineage: Eukaryota; Metazoa; Arthropoda; Insecta; Lepidoptera; Bombycidae.
AGUGGGCACUGUAUGUGAGAGACUGGU